AGUGAACGCCGGCGGUAGGCCUAACACAUGCAAGUCGAACGGCAGCACAGUAAGAGCUUGCUCUUACGGGUGGCGAGUGGCGGACGGGUGAGGAAUACAUCGGAAUCUACUUUUUCGUGGGGGAUAACGUAGGGAAACUUACGCUAAUACCGCAUACGACCUACGGGUGAAAGCAGGGGAUCUUCGGACCUUGCGCGAUUGAAUGAGCCGAUGUCGGAUUAGCUAGUUGGCGGGGUAAAGGCCCACCAAGGCGACGAUCCGUAGCUGGUCUGAGAGGAUGAUCAGCCACAGUGGAACUGAGACACGGUCCAGACUCCUACGGGAGGCAGCAGUGGGGAAUAUUGGACAAUGGGCGCAAGCCUGAUCCAGCCAUACCGCGUGGGUGAAGAAGGCCUUCGGGUUGUAAAGCCCUUUUGUUGGGAAAGAAAAGCAGCAGGUUAAUACCCCGCUGUUCUGACGGUACCCAAAGAAUAAGCACCGGCUAACUUCGU
RNAcentral lists this ribosomal RNA (491 nucleotides) under uncultured bacterium. RNAcentral describes it as "partial 16S ribosomal RNA". It matches the Rfam family "Bacterial small subunit ribosomal RNA", at positions 29 to 506 of the family's 1533-position model. The record is from RNAcentral.